ACCUGAAACCGUGUACGUACAAGCAGUGGGAGCACGCUUAGGCGUGUGACUGCGUACCUUUUGUAUAAUGGGUCAGCGACUUAUAUUCUGUAGCAAGGUUAACCGAAUAGGGGAGCCGAAGGGAAACCGAGUCUUAACUGGGCGUUAAGUUGCAGGGUAUAGACCCGAAACCCGGUGAUCUAGCCAUGGGCAGGUUGAAGGUUGGGUAACACUAACUGGAGGACCGAACCGACUAAUGUUGAAAAAUUAGCGGAUGACUUGUGGCUGGGGGUGAAAGGCCAAUCAAACCGGGAGAUAGCUGGUUCUCCCCGAAAGCUAUUUAGGUAGCGCCUCGUGAAUUCAUCUCCGGGGGUAGAGCACUGUUUCGGCAAGGGGGUCAUCCCGACUUACCAACCCGAUGCAAACUGCGAAUACCGGAGAAUGUUAUCACGGGAGACACACGGCGGGUGCUAACGUCCGUCGUGAAGAGGGAAACAACCCAGACCGCCAGCUAAGGUCCCAAAGUCAUGGUUAAGUGGGAAACGAUGUGGGAAGGCCCAGACAGCCAGGAUGUUGGCUUAGAAGCAGCCAUCAUUUAAAGAAAGCGUAAUAGCUCACUGGUCGAGUCGGCCUGCGCGGAAGAUGUAACGGGGCUAAACCAUGCACCGAAGCUGCGGCAGCGACGCUUAUGCGUUGUUGGGUAGGGGAGCGUUCUGUAAGCCUGUGAAGGUGUGCUGUGAGGCAUGCUGGAGGUAUCAGAAGUGCGAAUGCUGACAUAAGUAACGAUAAAGCGGGUGAAAAGCCCGCUCGCCGGAAGACCAAGGGUUCCUGUCCAACGUUAAUCGGGGCAGGGUGAGUCGACCCCUAAGGCGAGGCCGAAAGGCGUAGUCGAUGGGAAACAGGUUAAUAUUCCUGUACUUGGUGUUACUGCGAAGGGGGGACGGAGAAGGCUAUGUUGGCCGGGCGACGGUUGUCCCGGUUUAAGCGUGUAGGCUGGUUUUCCAGGCAAAUCCGGAAAAUCAAGGCUGAGGCGUGAUGACGAGGCACUACGGUGCUGAAGCAACAAAUGCCCUGCUUCCAGGAAAAGCCUCUAAGCAUCAGGUAACAUCAAAUCGUACCCCAAACCGACACAGGUGGUCAGGUAGAGAAUACCAAGGCGCUUGAGAGAACUCGGGUGAAGGAACUAGGCAAAAUGGUGCCGUAACUUCGGGAGAAGGCACGCUGAUAUGUAGGUGAAGUCCCUUGCGGAUGGAGCUGAAAUCAGUCGAAGAUACCAGCUGGCUGCAACUGUUUAUUAAAAACACAGCACUGUGCAAACACGAAAGUGGACGUAUACGGUGUGACGCCUGCCCGGUGCCGGAAGGUUAAUUGAUGGGGUCAGCGCAAGCGAAGCUCUUGAUCGAAGCCCCGGUAAACGGCGGCCGUAACUAUAACGGUCCUAAGGUAGCGAAAUUCCUUGUCGGGUAAGUUCCGACCUGCACGAAUGGCGUAAUGAUGGCCAGGCUGUCUCCACCCGAGACUCAGUGAAAUUGAACUCGCUGUGAAGAUGCAGUGUACCCGCGGCAAGACGGAAAGACCCCGUGAACCUUUACUAUAGCUUGACACUGAACAUUGAGCCUUGAUGUGUAGGAUAGGUGGGAGGCUUAGAAGUGUGGACGCCAGUCUGCAUGGAGCCGACCUUGAAAUACCACCCUUUAAUGUUUGAUGUUCUAACGUUGACCCGUAAUCCGGGUUGCGGACAGUGUCUGGUGGGUAGUUUGACUGGGGCGGUCUCCUCCUAAAGAGUAACGGAGGAGCACGAAGGUUGGCUAAUCCUGGUCGGACAUCAGGAGGUUAGUGCAAUGGCAUAAGCCAGCUUGACUGCGAGCGUGACGGCGCGAGCAGGUGCGAAAGCAGGUCAUAGUGAUCCGGUGGUUCUGAAUGGAAGGGCCAUCGCUCAACGGAUAAAAGGUACUCCGGGGAUAACAGGCUGAUACCGCCCAAGAGUUCAUAUCGACGGCGGUGUUUGGCACCUCGAUGUCGGCUCAUCACAUCCUGGGGCUGAAGUAGGUCCCAAGGGUAUGGCUGUUCGCCAUUUAAAGUGGUACGCGAGCUGGGUUUAGAACGUCGUGAGACAGUUCGGUCCCUAUCUGCCGUGGGCGCUGGAGAACUGAGGGGGGCUGCUCCUAGUACGAGAGGACCGGAGUGGACGCAUCACUGGUGUUCGGGUUGUCAUGCCAAUGGCACUGCCCGGUAGCUAAAUGCGGAAGAGAUAAGUGCUGAAAGCAUCUAAGCACGAAACUUGCCCCGAGAUGAGUUCUCCCUGACCCCUUAAGAGUCCUGAAGGAACGUUGAAGACGACGACGUUGAUAGGCCGGGUGUGUAAGCGCAGCGAUGCGUUGAGCUAACCGGUACUAAUGAACCGUGAGGCUUAACCUU
Molecule: ribosomal RNA, 2397 nt
Filed under: Escherichia coli KTE108
Lineage: Bacteria; Pseudomonadati; Pseudomonadota; Gammaproteobacteria; Enterobacterales; Enterobacteriaceae
Description: bacterial LSU rRNA
Rfam family: Bacterial large subunit ribosomal RNA
Source: RNAcentral